This is a non-coding RNA of Caenorhabditis remanei, 45 nucleotides long. The record is from Rfam. NCBI's taxonomy places the organism in Eukaryota, Metazoa, Nematoda, Chromadorea, Rhabditida, Rhabditidae.
CCAACGGCCCUCUUUAGGGCCACAAAUGAUCUUAAAUAUCCUACU